GUUGUUCAAAACAGGAGCGAACAAUGUUGUGCUGCACCCCGUGAACAAUAUUGUUAACAAGUUGUUGAACCAUCAACAUUGUUGCAACUUGUUGACAAUCAUGUUAACAACUUGUUAACAAUAUUGUUCACGGGGUGCAGCACAACAUUGUUCACUCCUGUUUGAACAAC
Molecule: non-coding RNA, 170 nt
Organism: Paramuricea clavata
Lineage: Eukaryota; Metazoa; Cnidaria; Anthozoa; Malacalcyonacea; Plexauridae
Source: the annotation of a GenBank genome assembly